Molecule: ribosomal RNA, 454 nt
Filed under: uncultured bacterium
Lineage: Bacteria
Description: partial 16S ribosomal RNA
Rfam family: Bacterial small subunit ribosomal RNA
Source: RNAcentral
GAUGAACGCUGACAGAAUGCUUAACACAUGCAAGUCUACUUGAACUUCGGUUUGGGUGGCGGACGGGUGAGUAACGCGUAAAGAACUUACCUCACAGUUAGGGACAACAUUUGGAAACGAAUGCUAAUACCUGAUAUUAUGAUUUUAGGGCAUCCUAAGAUUAUGAAAGCUAUAUGCGCUGUGAGAGAGCUUUGCGUCCCAUUAGCUAGUUGGAGAGGUAACGGCUCACCAAGGCGAUGAUGGGUAGCCGGCCUGAGAGGGUGAACGGCCACAAGGGGACUGAGACACGGCCCUUACUCCUUCGGGAGGCAGCGGUGGGGAAUAUUGGACAAUGGACCAAAAGUCUGAUCCAGCAAUUCUGUGUGCACGAUGACGUUUUUCGGAAUGUAAAGUGCUUUCAGUUGGGAAGAAAAAAAUGACGGUACCAACAGAAGAAGUGACGGCUAAAUACGUG